This is a long non-coding RNA of Solea senegalensis (Senegalese sole), 613 nucleotides long. RefSeq lists it as uncharacterized. The record is from RefSeq and is a predicted model, not a curated record. Lineage: Eukaryota; Metazoa; Chordata; Actinopteri; Pleuronectiformes; Soleidae. The transcript has 2 exons.
AUGAUGCCGUGUGUCAUUACGUCGUGCCGUUACGUCAUUUCGUCGCGUCGUUACGUCAUCACAUUGCGCCGUAACAUAACUCCGUUGGGGCUCGCUGCCGGCAGCAGUGAGAGGAGCACGCCGGGGAAAUGUUUGCAGGAGGUACGUUGUAGUACGCCGCGGAAUAUCGUAAUUUAAACACUCUGGAACUAAAUGCAUUACAGUAACCUAAUGUUGAAACAUAGGAGCCGACUACCGGAGCCGCUGAUCAUACGAUUCGGAGACCUAGUCUAAAUGAAUCAUGGAAUUGGCCAGGUGAUGGCGAGAAGUAUAAGAGUAUAGUCAAGUUUGAAGAUCCUUGGAAACCUCCACUGCUUUGGUCGGGCUGGUAGGAGGCUCCUUGGCACAGGCGCUCCUCUCUCUCUCUGCCCUUACACUCAAUUAACAUUCCACACCUACAUUACACACAUUCACCCAUUAAUACAGACUGUUCCCUAAAACUUAUUUAUUGUCAAUUUGUAUAUAUAUAUGAUCGGAACUGUACAUAUUGUAUUGUUGUAUAUGAAUGGCCAUUUGUAUUUUGUUAAAUAAUUCUGGUAAUGGUUCACAAUUAUAUGGUGUCACCAAACUUAAA